GACAUAGGUGGCGAACGUUAUCCGGAAUUAUUGGGCGUAAAGGAUGCGUAGAUGGUAGAAUAAGUUACUGGUCGAUGCCAAACUCAAUUUGGCGGAAGCCGAUAAUACUGUUCUACUCGAGGGCAGGAGAGGUUGUUGGAAUUCUGUGUGGAGCGGUGAAAUGCAUUGAGAUCGGAAAGAACACCAACGGCGAAAGCACUCUGCUGGGCCGACACUGACACUGAGAGACGAAAGCUAGGGGAGCAAAUGGG
RNAcentral lists this ribosomal RNA (251 nucleotides) under uncultured bacterium. RNAcentral's name for it is "partial 16S ribosomal RNA". It matches the Rfam family "Bacterial small subunit ribosomal RNA", at positions 524 to 776 of the family's 1533-position model. The record is from RNAcentral.